CACUGGGAGCUCCUUGAAGGUGGGGGCCUGGGUUUGGUUCAUCUCUAUGCCCCCCCUCAGUGCUAAGAGCAGAGUGGGUGCUCCUGAAAGACGUCUUGAGUUCUCAGGUGAUGGAUGGCCAUUCAACAUAGCAGAGGAGCUGUCCGAUGUGGGGGAAAUAAAACUGGUUUUGCUAAAGGGACACGUGGAAUGAAGUGAGAUACUCAUAGAGUCCCAGGAUGCUGAGAAGUGUGGCCACACUGAGGGUACGGGCUGGCCAGCCGUGGGAGGAUCUGACCCCACAUGAAUACAAGCUCUUGGCCGCACC
Molecule: long non-coding RNA, 307 nt
Organism: Orcinus orca (killer whale)
Lineage: Eukaryota; Metazoa; Chordata; Mammalia; Artiodactyla; Delphinidae
Exons: 3
Source: RefSeq, a predicted model, not a curated record